RNAcentral lists this long non-coding RNA (530 nucleotides) under Salvia miltiorrhiza (redroot sage). Its description in RNAcentral is "long non-coding RNA (SMIL_LNC012489)". The record is from RNAcentral. Lineage: Eukaryota; Viridiplantae; Streptophyta; Magnoliopsida; Lamiales; Lamiaceae.
UGAUGAUGAUGAUGGAGGUGUUCUUGGUGGUCAAAGGAGCCCUCUGUUUUAGAGAGGCAGGUUCUAUGAUGAGUAUUGUGCAAGAAGGAAUGAGAGGCUUUUCAAUAAAAAGAAAGGUGAAGUUGAAGGCUAUGAGAAGAAGCCUGCAUAUGCAUAUGAUCUUGGUGUUAUAGUUGAGUCUGCAAAGAAGAGGGAGGCCACCAAAUUCGAUAGCCGGAGGAAGGCGGCUGUUGUUGCGGUGGCUGCAGCCACACUAAUGGUUGAGAGGCGGGAGGCGGCUGUUGUUGCGGUGGCUGCGGCCACGCUAGUGGUUUUGUUUGGUUUGUUGUCCUAUCUUGAUUUAUACGAACAUCUCUUAUGCAGGCAGGAGCUAAGUUCAUAUUACAUAUGCACAUCGUUCAACAUAUAAACAACAAAGUUCAUUAAAAACAGAAAACAUAACAUGUAAAAUUGAAAUAAAAAUAAUAGCACAUGAUUAUUGUAAUUAAACCUUAAGACAAACAAUAAAUUGUUCAGUGUCUUGACUCGGC